RNAcentral lists this long non-coding RNA (903 nucleotides) under Anser brachyrhynchus (Pink-footed goose). RNAcentral describes it as "lncRNA (ENSABRG00000004046.1)". Lineage: Eukaryota; Metazoa; Chordata; Aves; Anseriformes; Anatidae. The record is from RNAcentral.
CCUUUUUUUACAACCUUUUAUCAUGUAUAGUUUUCAGCACCUGUUUAAAAUACUACAUAAUCUGAAGGCAGCUUCUUUGCAGGGGUGUAAAUGGCAGUUCCUUGGUCACAACCGUGCACAUUUAAAGCAAGGUUGUAGCAAGCACCCUAGUAGUCACCAUGACUUCCUAAAGCCUGAUCUGAGCUGGUUGGCAGCAGUAAUUGUUCAAAACCUGCCAGAAACUGAAAUCCAGGAGGAACCUGAUACCAGACCGCCAUUACAGAACUCAGUGAAAUUGUAUUGUUCUAGAGAAGAAAACGUCAUCACGUGCAUUUUGAAGUGAAUGUUAUAUCCUCAUCUUAAAGGAGCUGUUAAUUAAAGAGUAUCUGCUGCAUACAGAGGAAGACAUCUGACAGACUUUCUACGUAAGUGGGCAAAUUCUUUCAUCGCCUCUUAGAUUCUUUUUUUAGGUUCAGAGUGAUUUUUUUAUUAUUUUUUCUUUUUUUUUUUUUUUAAUAACUCCUCAGUUGCUUGAAUGGUCUCUCCCUACUGCCUACUCAGUUUCACACAAGUAGAUCAACACGCAAUUCCCUCAGUGUUAGAACAAUUCAACCAUGUGUUAAUAUGGUUGGAUAUUAAAAGUUCAUACGGCAGAUUAAUGUAAUUAACAUAAAUACAGUUACAGUCCACAAGUACAUGGAAACAGUGCAUCAAUCAAAACUAAUGAAAGUAGCCAUAAAUGUAAAUGGACCAGUGCUUGAGAUGACCUAAUGUUACACAUGCAUGUGCUUUCUAACAGAGCAUGUCCAGCUUCUUUCACUGGUAUUGACUUCAAAUAAUUUUAGCAAUUUUGAAAGAUGUUCAUUUAAGUUCCUUCGACAGAUGAAUAAUUACCAUAGUAUUCUGAGGUUAAGUGAGCAUAGG